GUUACGGCGGUCAUAGCGUGGGGGAAACGCCCGGUUCCAUUCCGAACCCGGAAGCUAAGGCCCACAGCGCCGAUGGUACUGCAACCGGGAGGUUGUGGGAGAGUAGGUCGCCGCCGGACAUUCUUUGAGGGAGGGCCUCGCACUGUUGGUGCGAGGCCCUUCCCG
RNAcentral lists this ribosomal RNA (165 nucleotides) under Micrococcus luteus NCTC 2665. Lineage: Bacteria; Bacillati; Actinomycetota; Actinomycetes; Micrococcales; Micrococcaceae. The record is from RNAcentral.